GAUGAACGCUGGCGGUAUGCCUAACACAUGCAAGUCGUACGAGAGUUUUUAACUCUAGUGGCGGACGGGUGAGUAACACGUGAGAAUUUACCUUUAGGAGGGGGAUAACAAUUGGAAACGAAUGCUAAUACCCCAUAUGCUUUUGAGUGAAAUGGAUUUAUAUUUAUCCGCCUAGAGAGAAGCUCGCGGCUGAUUAGCUUGUUGGUAAGGUAAGAGCUUACCAAGGCGACGAUCAGUAUCUGGUUUGAGAGGACGAUCAGACACACUGGAACUGAGACACGGUCCAGACUCCUACGGGAGGCAGCAGCGGGGAAUUUUCCGCAAUGGGCGAAAGCCUGACGGAGCAAUACCGCGUGAGGGAAGACUGCCUAUGGGUUGUAAACCUCUUUUUUCAGGGAGGAAUAAAA
Molecule: ribosomal RNA, 407 nt
Filed under: uncultured phototrophic eukaryote
Lineage: Eukaryota
Description: bacterial SSU rRNA
Rfam family: Bacterial small subunit ribosomal RNA
Source: RNAcentral